CUUGAUCGAGCCGAGCCAGAGCGGCCGCUCCGCUGUGUGCGCCUUGCCGUAGGUCGCCAGCAGCGCCUGCGCCUC
RNAcentral lists this antisense RNA (75 nucleotides) under Sorangium cellulosum. Its description in RNAcentral is "ASpks TB sRNA". It matches the Rfam family "ASpks TB sRNA". The record is from Rfam by way of RNAcentral. Lineage: Bacteria; Pseudomonadati; Myxococcota; Polyangiales; Polyangiaceae.